This 902-nucleotide long non-coding RNA is filed under the name Homo sapiens (human). Its description in RNAcentral is "HSALNT0255907". The record is from RNAcentral. Lineage: Eukaryota; Metazoa; Chordata; Mammalia; Primates; Hominidae.
GCCAAGUCUUAUGCCAUUGGAAAGACACAUGUCAUACACCUGCAAUGUGAGACAAUGCUCUUCAGUGACCAUGACGGAUCAAGACAAAACAAGGACACUCUGUAACCAUGUCUCAAAAUAGUAUAGAAGAAAACAUAUUUCAAAUUAUCAAACUGAGCAAAUUUUUUUCAGUAAUGUGACUCAUUUGUAAUUCUCAUAUAUCUCACUGUCAUUUAUGGCUUUUGAUCAUAUUUAUUACUAUAUUACACCCUCUUUGACAACAAGUAUGGUACUGGUGGUCUUUGGCAAGACGUCACUGAGAACAUUGAGUUAACUUUUGGUACAAUGAAUGAAUGAAAAGUUAGGACUAAGAGGCUGGGCGUGGUGGCUUACCCAUGUAAUCCCAGCACUUUGGGAGGCUAAGGCAGGUGGGUCACAAGGUCAAGAAUUCUAAACCAGCCUGACCAACAUGGUGAAACCCCAUCUCUACUAAAAAUACAAAAAUUAGCCGGGUGUGGUGACCGGCGCCUGUCACCCCAGCUACUUGGGAGGCUGAGGCAGGAGAAUCGCUUGAACCCAGGAGGCAGAGGUUGCAGUGAGUGGAGAUCGCACCACUGCACUCAAGCCUGCGCGACAGAGCGAGACUGCGUCUCAAAAAAAAAAAAAAAGAAAAAGAAAAAGAAAAAAAGAAAAGUUAGGACUAAGAUAAAAAAUUUAAGGAUAGCCAGGCGCGGUAGCUCACGCCUGUAAUCCCAGCACUUUGGGAGGGCGAGGUGGGUGGAUCACAAGGUCAGGAGAUUGAGACCUUCCUGGCUAACACGGUGAAACCCUGUCUCUACUAAAAAAAAUAUACAAAAAAAUUAGCCGGGCGUGGUGGCAGGCAACUGUAGUCCCAGCUACUUGGGAGGCUGAGGCAGGAGAAU